RNAcentral lists this ribosomal RNA (322 nucleotides) under uncultured eukaryote. RNAcentral's name for it is "partial 18S ribosomal RNA". It matches the Rfam family "Eukaryotic small subunit ribosomal RNA", at positions 1470 to 1796 of the family's 1831-position model. The record is from RNAcentral.
CCCUUAGAUGUUCUGGGCUGCACGCGUGCUACACUGAUAUUGCCAAUAUGUCAUUCUUAUCCGAAAUGGAUUGGGUAAUCAAGUAAUGAAAUUUCAUGCUUGGAAUCGGUAAUUGCAAUUUUAUCGUGAACGAGGAAUUCCUAGUAAGCACUAGUCAUCAGCUAAUGUUGAUUUGUCCCUGCCCUUUGUACACACCGCCCGUCGCUACUACUGAUUGGGUGUUCAAGUGAGAUGCUUAGACCCUUGUUGCAUGGUUCAUUAUUGUGCUCCGAAAGGAAAAAGUUUCAAGCUUGAGUGUCUAGAGGAAGUAAAAGUCGUAACA